This 232-nucleotide ribosomal RNA is filed under the name uncultured bacterium. Its description in RNAcentral is "partial 16S ribosomal RNA". It matches the Rfam family "Bacterial small subunit ribosomal RNA", at positions 118 to 348 of the family's 1533-position model. The record is from RNAcentral.
UGAGCAAUCUGCCCUUCUCAUCGGAAUAAGCGUUGGAAACGACGUCUAAUGCCGAAUAUGACCUCCUUUCACAUGAUCGGAGGUGGAAAGCUCCGGCGGAGAAGGAUGAGCUCGCGGCCUAUCAGCUAGUUGGUGUGGUAAUGGCUCACCAAGGCGACGACGGGUAGCCGGCCUGAGAGGGUGACCGGCCACACGUGGGACUGAGACACGGCCCAGGCCUCGUAACCGGGGA